This 3448-nucleotide long non-coding RNA is filed under the name Sus scrofa (pig). Its description in RNAcentral is "lncRNA (ENSSSCG00000057104.1)". The record is from RNAcentral. Lineage: Eukaryota; Metazoa; Chordata; Mammalia; Artiodactyla; Suidae.
AAAAAGCCAACAACCCAAUUGAAAAAUGGGCAAAAGACCUGAUGACAUUUCUCCAAAGAUAUACAGAUGGGCAACAAGCACAGGAAAAAUUGCUCAACAUCACUGAUUAUUAGAGAAAUGCAAAUCAAAACCACUAUGAGGUGCCACCUCACACCUGUCAGAAUGGCCAUGAUUGGAAUUCCCAUCGUGGCUCAGUGGAAAUGAAUCUGGCUAGUAUCCAUGAGGGCACAGGUUUGAUCCCUGGCCUCUCUCAGUGGGUUAAGGAUCUGACCUUGCUGUGAGCUGUGGUGUAGGUCACAGACACAGCUAGGAUCUGGCAUUGCUGUGGCUGCAGCAUAGGCCACAGGCUACAGCUCUGAUUCAAUCCCUAGCCUGGGAACCUCCAUAUGCUGUGGGUGUGGCCCUAAAAAAAUAAAAAUAAAAGAAUAAAACAAUGGCCGUCAUUAACUAAUCAACAAUAACAAAUGCUGGAGAGAGUGUGGAGAAAAGGGUACCCUUCUACACUCUUGGUGGGAAUAUAAAUUGGUACACCCACAAUGGAAAACAGUAUGGCGAUGCCUCAGAAAACUAAAUAUAGAACUACCAUAUGACUCAGCAAUCCCACUCUUGGGCAUAUAUCCAGACAAAACUUUCAUUGAAAAAAUACAUCUUCAUUGCAGCGCUAUUCACAAUAGCCAAGACUUGGAAGCAACCUAAAUGUCCAUCGACAGAUGAAUGGAUUAAGAAGAUGUAUAUAUACACAAUGGAAUACUACUCGGCCAUAAAAGAACAAAAGAAUGCCAUUUGCAGCAACAUGGAUUGAACUAGAGACUCUCAUACUAAGUGAAGUAAGUCAGAAAGAGAAAGACAAAUACAUAUGAUAUCAUUUAUAUCUGGAAAUAUACAGCACAAAUGAAAAGAAACUCAUGGACUUGGAGAACAGACUUAUGGUUGCCAAGAGGGGUGGAGGAGUGAGACGGACUGGGAGUCUUGGUUUAAUAGAUGCAAACUAUUGCAUUUGAAGUGAAUAAGCAAUGAGAUCCUGCCAUAUAGCACAGGGAACUAUAUUCAGUCACUUGUGAUGGAACAUGUUGGAGGAUAAUGUAAGAAAAAGAAUGUAUAUAUACACACACACGUGUGUGUGUGUGUGUAUCACUGGGUCACUUUGCUUUACAGUAGAGAUUGACAGAACACUGCAAAUCAACUAUAAUGGAAGAAAUAAAAGUCAUAAAAUAGAAAAAAUUUAAAAAUAAAAGCAUAAGCUUAUUCUCAAACAAAACAACAAAACAAAACAGAAAAGCACAAUCGUAUCUUCAGAAUACCCCCAGGCACUGUGUUUUGUCAGGGUAGGAAGAGGGAAUUUAGAGAUACGCAGAUAAACACGUCUAAGCUUAGCAAGUUAGGACAUAUAUGUUAGGACAUAUAUUCUGAAAAAUAAACUCUGACUGUUACAACACUUACAAUAUGUCUGAUCUUGCAUCCUUAUUUUUCUCUCCUUUUAAGUAGGAAUGGACCAUAUAGGUAUUAUUUGAGCUAAAGUAAUAUAUAAAAAGCAUUCCCUAAAGUAUCUAAUAUGUAAUAAAAUUUAAAUAAGUAGUAUUAUUACAAUUAAGUCUAUUCCUCAGAAAGACUUUCCGUAUCACCCAAUCAAAAAUCUCCAUUUCCUCCCCGCCACGCCUUCAAGUAGCUUAUUUUUCUUUAUAACAUUAUCAUUAUCUAACAUCAUGUCGCAAAGAAUGAAUUCAUUUGUUUAUGGUUUGAAUUCCUUAUGAAGGUCAACUUUAUUAGGGGGGUAAUUUGUUGAUCUCAUUCACUAAAUUCCUAAUACCUACGCUGUUCCUGGAGCAUAGUAGAAGCUCCAUAAAUAUUUGCUGAAUGAAUUAAUGGAAAAGUUACAGACGGAGGCACAACAGAGGGAGCUGUCGAUUCUAGCUCAGAAUUUUGAUAUUUUUAUUUUUAUUUUAUAAGAUUGUCCUUUUGUGAUAAAGUGUAUUAAUUCUGAGGAGGUUCAGAAGAAUUUAUGGCAAACGGACCGAGUAGCUUAAGGUGAAUCUGAAAGAUGUGUCAGUGUUUCCAAACAGAAAGGGCAUAAAGGGAUCCCAGGAAGAAGAGACAGAGUUUUCAUAGACACCAGAGUGAAUCCGCUGCCAAAUGGUAACUAUGGUUGCAGUAUCAUGUGACUUAGUACAAUGCCAGUGGGACCUGGCAAGCCUGGUAAGGGACGCAGCUCUAGAGGUAACCAAGGACCAGCUCACACAGGACAUGCAGCAUUCUGAGUUACUAGUAUGCAGUUCAUGGAGCCUGGAGCUAAUCCUGAAAAUGAUGGUACAAAAACUGAAUAAUCUUAAGCAAGUAAAUAAGAAAGGACCAGCUUUAUAUGUUCGAAAACUCACUCUGGUAACAUUGUGGAUGAUGAAGUUAGCAAAGCAUGAGACUCUUUAGAAAUCUAGGUGAUAAUUGAGCAAAUCAUAAAAAUGAAAUAAAUGGUGGUAGAAAUAGAAAGGGAUUUACUUGAGACAUAAUUUAAAGAUACAUUAGCUAAGGUUCUGAAUACAUAGAAUGUAUUCUAUUAUAGAACAGCAGUUAAUUUUAAGGGGGACCAGAAACACACAUAGGUGACACCCUUUAGGUCAAUCGAAAUGUGAAAGAGGAGCUCCUGCACAGUAGAAGUGGAAAGGGGGGGUAUCAAAGUAACAUAAGAUGCCUGGGACUCUAUUAAUUUUAUGUUGCCCAAAUUUCUACUUUUUCCUACAUAUGUUGUGGUUCAAUCUCAUAACUUAUCAGGAAACAAAAUCUACUGAAUGCAUGAGUGAGUAAAAAAAUAUACCCAGCUAGAUAUUUAAAAAAUUAACUUCUGUUUAUUUCAUAUACUUUAUUUCAUAUGCUUAAGACAUGUCUAAAUUUUAUAACAUUGUUAUUUUAUACACAUUUUUAGUUCCUGAUGGUAAAGUUGCUUUAGUGUUCAUUUUUAACUCCAAUGAAACUUUUUUUUUUUUUUUUUACUUGCGGGUAAAAUGUUAAACAAGUAUUUAUGAUGGUUGCAAAAUCCAACCAAAGAAAUAUCUAAGGCCAUCAUUAUAUAAAAUUACAGCUAUAGAAAAAUCCAGAACCCAAAACUUAAAAGAUCACAAGGAAAAAAAAAAAAUCAUAGUCCUUUGUAAAAGCAAUGUUUUAAAAUCUCCAGUAUUGCUGAAAACAGUUAUUACCAGUGGAGAACUUUUAACUAAGAAAUCAACAUUCCUCUGGUUCAGCUGGUGGUCUAUUUUCCAUGUGUAUUUUCUGUACUUAUUAGGGCAUGAUAAUUCCUCACAAACCUCAAAGCCCAAGUACAUCAUAAUUCUCCUUCACCAUAAAGACAUGACUUCGCCUUGAUUUUUGAAUGGAGAUGAAGAAGGACUUGUCUUAUUUUCCAUCCCCGCUCCCUUCCACAGAUCAGGGUCUAUAGUUGAGUCUCCUAUGAAUCAAUCUU